This 468-nucleotide ribosomal RNA is filed under the name uncultured bacterium. RNAcentral describes it as "partial 16S ribosomal RNA". It matches the Rfam family "Bacterial small subunit ribosomal RNA", at positions 28 to 507 of the family's 1533-position model. The record is from RNAcentral.
GACGAACGCUGGCGGCGUGCUUAACACAUGCAAGUCGAACGGAAAGGCCCUGCUUUGGUGGGGUGCUCGAGUGGCGAACGGGGGAGUAACACGUGAGUAACCUGCCCUUGACUUUGGGAUAACUUCAGGAAACUGGGUCUAAUACCGGAUAGGAGCUCCUGCUGCAGGGUGGGGGUGGGAAAGUUUCGGCGGUUGGGGAUGGAAUCGCGGCUCAUCAGCUUGUUGGUGUGGUAGUGGCUUACCAAGGCCUUGAAGCGUAGCCUGCCUGCGAGGGUGACCGGCCACGCUGGGCCUGAGCUACGGCCCAGACCACUACCCGACGCAGCGGUGCAGUAUGUUGCACUGUGGGCUGAGGCCUGAUGCAGCCCCGCCGCGCGCGGGAUGACGGCCUUCGGGUUGUAUUCCGCUUUCGCCUGUGACGAAGCGUGAGUGACGGUAAUGGGUGAAGAAGCUCCGGCUAACUACGUG